RNAcentral lists this ribosomal RNA (500 nucleotides) under uncultured bacterium. RNAcentral describes it as "partial 16S ribosomal RNA". It matches the Rfam family "Bacterial small subunit ribosomal RNA", at positions 30 to 523 of the family's 1533-position model. The record is from RNAcentral.
ACUGAACGCUGGCGGAAUGCUUUACACAUGCAAGUCGAACGGCAGCACGGACUUCGGUCUGGUGGCGAGUGGCGAACGGGUGAGUAAUGUAUCGGAACGUGCCCAGUCGUGGGGGAUAACGUAGUGAAAAUUACGCUAAUACCGCAUACGAUCUAUGGAUGAAAGCGGGGGAUCGCAAGACCUCGCGCGAUUGGAGCGGCCGAUAUCAGAUUAGGUAGUUGGUGGGGUAAAGGCCCACCAAGCCAACGAUCUGUAGCUGGUCUGAGAGGACGACCAGCCACACUGGAACUGAGACACGGUCCAGACUCCUACGGGAGGCAGCAGUGGGGAAUUUUGGACAAUGGGCGAAAGCCUGAUCCAGCCAUUCCGCGUGCAGGAUGAAGGCCCUUGGGUUGUAAACUGCUUUUGUACAGAACGAAAAGGUUUCUACUAAUACUAGGAGCUCAUGACGGUACUGUAAGAAUAAGCACCGGCUAACUACGUGCCAGCCGCCGCAGUAA